This 274-nucleotide ribosomal RNA is filed under the name uncultured bacterium. RNAcentral describes it as "partial 16S ribosomal RNA". It matches the Rfam family "Bacterial small subunit ribosomal RNA", at positions 523 to 796 of the family's 1533-position model. The record is from RNAcentral.
AUACGGAGGGUGCAAGCGUUGUCCGGAAUCACUGGGCGUAAAGGGCGCGUAGGCGGCGCAGUAAGUAGGGGGUGAAAUCUCACGGCUCAACCGUGAAACUGCCUCCUAAACUGCUGUGCUUGAGCACGGUAGAGGCAGAUGGAAUUCCCGGUGUAGCGGUGGAAUGCGUAGAUAUCGGGAAGAACACCAGUGGCGAAGGCGGUCUGCUGGGCCGUUGCUGACGCUGAGGCGCGACAGCGUGGGGAGCAAACAGGAUUAGAUACCCCAGUAGUCC